AUUGAACGCUGGCGGCAUGCUUUACACAUGCAAGCCGAACGGUAACAGGUUAAGCUGACGAGUGGCGAACGGGUGAGUAAUGCAUCGGAACGUGCCCGGUCGUGGGGGAUAACGCAGCGAAAGCUGCGCUAAUACCGCAUACGAUCUAAGGAUGAAAGCGGGGGACCGUAAGGCCUCGCGCGAUCGGAGCAGCCGAUGUCAGAUUAGGUAGUUGGUGGGGUAAAGGCUCACCAAGCCAACGAUCUGUAGCUGGUCUGAGAGGACGACCAGCCACACUGGGACUGAGACACGGCCCAGACUCCUACGGGAGGCAGCAGUGGGGAAUUUUGGACAAUGGGCGAAAGCCUGAUCCAGCAAUGCCGCGUGCAGGAAGAAGGCCUUCGGGUUGUAAACUGCUUUUGUACGGAGCGAAAAGGUCUCCUCUAAUACAGGGGGCUCAUGACGGUACCGUAAGAAUAAGCACCGGCUAACUACGUGCCAGCCGCCGCGGUAA
This 493-nucleotide ribosomal RNA is filed under the name uncultured bacterium. Its description in RNAcentral is "partial 16S ribosomal RNA". It matches the Rfam family "Bacterial small subunit ribosomal RNA", at positions 29 to 523 of the family's 1533-position model. The record is from RNAcentral.